Molecule: ribosomal RNA, 300 nt
Filed under: Escherichia coli 4_1_47FAA
Lineage: Bacteria; Pseudomonadati; Pseudomonadota; Gammaproteobacteria; Enterobacterales; Enterobacteriaceae
Description: bacterial LSU rRNA
Rfam family: Bacterial large subunit ribosomal RNA
Source: RNAcentral
UCGGUCCCUAUCUGCCGUGGGCGCUGGAGAACUGAGGGGGGCUGCUCCUAGUACGAGAGGACCGGAGUGGACGCAUCACUGGUGUUCGGGUUGUCAUGCCAAUGGCACUGUCCGGUAGCUAAAUGCGGAAGAGAUAAGUGCUGAAAGCAUCUAAGCACGAAACUUGCCCCGAGAUGAGUUCUCCCUGACUCCUUGAGAGUCCUGAAGGAACGUUGAAGACGACGACGUUGAUAGGCCGGGUGUGUAAGCGCAGCGAUGCGUUGAGCUAACCGGUACUAAUGAACCGUGAGGCUUAACCUU